RNAcentral lists this ribosomal RNA (2903 nucleotides) under Escherichia coli. Its description in RNAcentral is "23S ribosomal RNA". It matches the Rfam family "Bacterial large subunit ribosomal RNA". The record is from RNAcentral. Lineage: Bacteria; Pseudomonadati; Pseudomonadota; Gammaproteobacteria; Enterobacterales; Enterobacteriaceae.
GGUUAAGCGACUAAGCGUACACGGUGGAUGCCCUGGCAGUCAGAGGCGAUGAAGGACGUGCUAAUCUGCGAUAAGCGUCGGUAAGGUGAUAUGAACCGUUAUAACCGGCGAUUUCCGAAUGGGGAAACCCAGUGUGUUUCGACACACUAUCAUUAACUGAAUCCAUAGGUUAAUGAGGCGAACCGGGGGAACUGAAACAUCUAAGUACCCCGAGGAAAAGAAAUCAACCGAGAUUCCCCCAGUAGCGGCGAGCGAACGGGGAGCAGCCCAGAGCCUGAAUCAGUGUGUGUGUUAGUGGAAGCGUCUGGAAAGGCGCGCGAUACAGGGUGACAGCCCCGUACACAAAAAUGCACAUGCUGUGAGCUCGAUGAGUAGGGCGGGACACGUGGUAUCCUGUCUGAAUAUGGGGGGACCAUCCUCCAAGGCUAAAUACUCCUGACUGACCGAUAGUGAACCAGUACCGUGAGGGAAAGGCGAAAAGAACCCCGGCGAGGGGAGUGAAAAAGAACCUGAAACCGUGUACGUACAAGCAGUGGGAGCACGCUUAGGCGUGUGACUGCGUACCUUUUGUAUAAUGGGUCAGCGACUUAUAUUCUGUAGCAAGGUUAACCGAAUAGGGGAGCCGAAGGGAAACCGAGUCUUAACUGGGCGUUAAGUUGCAGGGUAUAGACCCGAAACCCGGUGAUCUAGCCAUGGGCAGGUUGAAGGUUGGGUAACACUAACUGGAGGACCGAACCGACUAAUGUUGAAAAAUUAGCGGAUGACUUGUGGCUGGGGGUGAAAGGCCAAUCAAACCGGGAGAUAGCUGGUUCUCCCCGAAAGCUAUUUAGGUAGCGCCUCGUGAAUUCAUCUCCGGGGGUAGAGCACUGUUUCGGCAAGGGGGUCAUCCCGACUUACCAACCCGAUGCAAACUGCGAAUACCGGAGAAUGUUAUCACGGGAGACACACGGCGGGUGCUAACGUCCGUCGUGAAGAGGGAAACAACCCAGACCGCCAGCUAAGGUCCCAAAGUCAUGGUUAAGUGGGAAACGAUGUGGGAAGGCCCAGACAGCCAGGAUGUUGGCUUAGAAGCAGCCAUCAUUUAAAGAAAGCGUAAUAGCUCACUGGUCGAGUCGGCCUGCGCGGAAGAUGUAACGGGGCUAAACCAUGCACCGAAGCUGCGGCAGCGACACUAUGUGUUGUUGGGUAGGGGAGCGUUCUGUAAGCCUGCGAAGGUGUGCUGUGAGGUAUGCUGGAGGUAUCAGAAGUGCGAAUGCUGACAUAAGUAACGAUAAAGCGGGUGAAAAGCCCGCUCGCCGGAAGACCAAGGGUUCCUGUCCAACGUUAAUCGGGGCAGGGUGAGUCGACCCCUAAGGCGAGGCCGAAAGGCGUAGUCGAUGGGAAACAGGUUAAUAUUCCUGUACUUGGUGUUACUGCGAAGGGGGGACGGAGAAGGCUAUGUUGGCCGGGCGACGGUUGUCCCGGUUUAAGCGUGUAGGCUGGUUUUCCAGGCAAAUCCGGAAAAUCAAGGCUGAGGCGUGAUGACGAGGCACUACGGUGCUGAAGCAACAAAUGCCCUGCUUCCAGGAAAAGCCUCUAAGCAUCAGGUAACAUCAAAUCGUACCCCAAACCGACACAGGUGGUCAGGUAGAGAAUACCAAGGCGCUUGAGAGAACUCGGGUGAAGGAACUAGGCAAAAUGGUGCCGUAACUUCGGGAGAAGGCACGCUGAUAUGUAGGUGAAGUCCCUCGCGGAUGGAGCUGAAAUCAGUCGAAGAUACCAGCUGGCUGCAACUGUUUAUUAAAAACACAGCACUGUGCAAACACGAAAGUGGACGUAUACGGUGUGACGCCUGCCCGGUGCCGGAAGGUUAAUUGAUGGGGUCAGCGCAAGCGAAGCUCUUGAUCGAAGCCCCGGUAAACGGCGGCCGUAACUAUAACGGUCCUAAGGUAGCGAAAUUCCUUGUCGGGUAAGUUCCGACCUGCACGAAUGGCGUAAUGAUGGCCAGGCUGUCUCCACCCGAGACUCAGUGAAAUUGAACUCGCUGUGAAGAUGCAGUGUACCCGCGGCAAGACGGAAAGACCCCGUGAACCUUUACUAUAGCUUGACACUGAACAUUGAGCCUUGAUGUGUAGGAUAGGUGGGAGGCUUUGAAGUGUGGACGCCAGUCUGCAUGGAGCCGACCUUGAAAUACCACCCUUUAAUGUUUGAUGUUCUAACGUGGACCCGUGAUCCGGGUUGCGGACAGUGUCUGGUGGGUAGUUUGACUGGGGCGGUCUCCUCCUAAAGAGUAACGGAGGAGCACGAAGGUUGGCUAAUCCUGGUCGGACAUCAGGAGGUUAGUGCAAUGGCAUAAGCCAGCUUGACUGCGAGCGUGACGGCGCGAGCAGGUGCGAAAGCAGGUCAUAGUGAUCCGGUGGUUCUGAAUGGAAGGGCCAUCGCUCAACGGAUAAAAGGUACUCCGGGGAUAACAGGCUGAUACCGCCCAAGAGUUCAUAUCGACGGCGGUGUUUGGCACCUCGAUGUCGGCUCAUCACAUCCUGGGGCUGAAGUAGGUCCCAAGGGUAUGGCUGUUCGCCAUUUAAAGUGGUACGCGAGCUGGGUUUAGAACGUCGUGAGACAGUUCGGUCCCUAUCUGCCGUGGGCGCUGGAGAACUGAGGGGGGCUGCUCCUAGUACGAGAGGACCGGAGUGGACGCAUCACUGGUGUUCGGGUUGUCAUGCCAAUGGCACUGCCCGGUAGCUAAAUGCGGAAGAGAUAAGUGCUGAAAGCAUCUAAGCACGAAACUUGCCCCGAGAUGAGUUCUCCCUGACUCCUUGAGAGUCCUGAAGGAACGUUGAAGACGACGACGUUGAUAGGCCGGGUGUGUAAGCGCAGCGAUGCGUUGAGCUAACCGGUACUAAUGAACCGUGAGGCUUAACCUU